CCUACGGGAGGCAGCAGUGGGGAAUUUUGGACAAUGGGCGCAAGCCUGAUCCAGCCAUGCCGCGUGUGGGAAGAAGGCCUUCGGGUUGUAAACCACUUUUGUCAGGGAAGAAACGGUUUGUCCUAAUACGGCGGACUAAUGACGGUACCUGAAGAAUAAGCACCGGCUAACUACGUGCCAGCAGCCGCGGUAAUACGUAGGGUGCAAGCGUUAAUCGGAAUUACUGGGCGUAAAGCGUGCGCAGGCGGCUUUGCAAGACAGAUGUGAAAUCCCCGGGGCUCAACCUGGGAACUGCAUUUGUGACUGCAUGGCUAGAGUACGGUAGAGGGGGGAUGGAAUUCCGCGUGUAGCAGUGAAAUGCGUAGAUAUGCGGAGGAACACCGAUGGCGAAGGCAAUCCCCCUGGACCUGUACUGACGCUCAUGCACGAAAGCGUGGGGAGCAAACAGGAUUAGAUACCCUGGUAGUCCACGCCCUAAACGAUGUCAACUGGUUGUUGGACGGCUUGCUGUUCAGUACGAAGCUAACGCGNGAGUGACGCGNGGNGCGGCGCGAGUGACGACAGAGUAGUGCGNGNGAGAGCGACGACGACGACGACGGAGGGAGG
This 606-nucleotide ribosomal RNA is filed under the name uncultured bacterium. RNAcentral describes it as "bacterial SSU rRNA". The stretch from base 1 to 541 matches the Rfam family "Bacterial small subunit ribosomal RNA", at positions 338 to 873 of the family's 1533-position model. The record is from RNAcentral.